Molecule: ribosomal RNA, 541 nt
Filed under: uncultured fungus
Lineage: Eukaryota; Fungi
Description: bacterial SSU rRNA
Rfam family: Eukaryotic small subunit ribosomal RNA
Source: RNAcentral
GGCGAUGGGUCAUUCAAAAUUUCUGGCCCUAAUCAAACUUUCGAAUGGUAGGAAUAAGAUGGCCUUAAACAAUGGUUUCAACGGGGUAACGGGGAAAUUAAGGGUUCUAUUCCCGGGAGAAGGGAGCCUGGAGAAAACGGUUAACCAACUAUUCCAAGGAAGGCAGCAGGCGCGCAAAUUUAACCCAAAUCCCGGACCACAGGGGAAGGUAGUGGACAAUAAUUAACUGAUCAUAGGGCUCUUUCGGGUCUUGUGAAUUGGAAUGAGUACAAUUUAAAAUCCCUUAACGAGGAACAAUUGGAGGGCAAGGUCUGGUGCCAGCAGCCGCGGCUCAAUUCCAGCUCCAAUAGCGUAUAUUAGAGUUGUUGCAGUUAAACAAGCUCGUAGUUGAACCUUGGGCUGGCUGAUCGGUCCGCCUACACCGCGUGCACUGGGUUCGGCCGGGCCUUUCCUUCUAGGGAGAGCCGGCAUGCCCUUCACUGGGUGUGUCAGAGGAAACCAGGACUUUUAGCUUUGAAAAAAUUAGAGUAGUUCCAAAGCA